GAUGAACGCUAGCGACAGGCCUAACACAUGCAAGUCGAGGGGCAGCACAAGGUAGCAAUACUUGGGUGGCGACCGGCGGACGGGUGAGUAACACGUAUGCAACCUGCCCGUAAUCGGGGGAUAACCCGGAGAAAUUCGGACUAAAACUCCAUGAAUCUGAGAUAUCGCAUGAUAAAACAGAAAAACGCAAGGAUUACGGAUGGGCAUGCGGAUGAUUAGCUAGUUGGAGGGGUAACGGCCCGCCAAGGCGACGAUCAUUAGGGGUUCUGAGAGGAAGGUCCCCCACAUUGGAACUGAGAGACGGUCCAAACUCCUACGGGAGGCAGCAGUGAGGAAUAUUGGUCAAUGGGCGAGAGCCUGAACCAGCCAAGUCGCGUGAAGGAAGAAGGUCUUAUGGAUUGUAAACUUCUUUAGCAGAGGGAUAAAGGUUAUUACGAGAUAAUAAUUUGCAGGUACUCUGCGAAAAAGAUCGGCUAACUCCGUGCCAGCAGCCGCGGUAAAACGUG
RNAcentral lists this ribosomal RNA (506 nucleotides) under uncultured bacterium. RNAcentral's name for it is "bacterial SSU rRNA". It matches the Rfam family "Bacterial small subunit ribosomal RNA", at positions 28 to 529 of the family's 1533-position model. The record is from RNAcentral.